This 160-nucleotide ribosomal RNA is filed under the name uncultured soil bacterium. RNAcentral describes it as "partial 16S ribosomal RNA". It matches the Rfam family "Bacterial small subunit ribosomal RNA", at positions 26 to 188 of the family's 1533-position model. The record is from RNAcentral.
AGGACGAACGCUGGCGGCGUGCUUAACACAUGCAAGUCGAGCGGUAAGGCCUUUCGGGGUACACGAGCGGCGAACGGGUGAGUAACACGUGGGUGAUCUGCCCUGCACUUCGGGAUAAGCCUGGGAAACUGGGUCUAAUACCGGAUAUGACCUCCUAUCG